Molecule: ribosomal RNA, 468 nt
Filed under: uncultured bacterium
Lineage: Bacteria
Description: partial 16S ribosomal RNA
Rfam family: Bacterial small subunit ribosomal RNA
Source: RNAcentral
GACGAACGCUGGCGGCGUGCUUAACACAUGCAAGUCGAACGGAAAGGCCCUGCUUUUGUGGGGUGCUCGAGUGGCGAACGGGUGAGUAACACGUGAGUAACCUGCCCUUGACUUUGGGAUAACUUCAGGAAACUGGGGCUAAUACCGGAUAGGAGCUCCUGCUGCAUGGUGGGGGUUGGAAAGUUUCGGCGGUUGGGGAUGGACUCGCGGCUUAUCAGCUUGUUGGUGGGGUAGUGGCUUACCAAGGCUUUGACGGGUAGCCGGCCUGAGAGGGUGACCGGCCACAUUGGGACUGAGAUACGGGCCAGACUCCUACGGGAGGCAGCAGUGGGGAAUAUUGCACAAUGGGCGGAAGCCUGAUGCAGCAACGCCGCGUGCGGGAUGACGGCCUUCGGGUUGUAAACCGCUUUCGCCUGUGACGAAGCGGGAGUGACGGUAAUGGGUAAAGAAGCACCGGCUAACUACGUG